Molecule: ribosomal RNA, 342 nt
Filed under: Triticum aestivum (bread wheat)
Lineage: Eukaryota; Viridiplantae; Streptophyta; Magnoliopsida; Poales; Poaceae
Description: partial small subunit ribosomal RNA
Source: RNAcentral
AUGGCCAGCCUGGUGCACCAGACGGCGGCGCCGAUGGCGUGCAGCGACGACGACUUCAUGCCGCAGAGCUUCGGGUGCUUCGGGCGGUCGCUGUCUCGGGCGUCGUCGGCCCGGCGGCUGGAGUACAGGGCGCUGAGCGGCGAGGGCGGGGAGGAGAUCAGGCGCAUCGCGCAGGAGGAGCGGUCGGCCAGGGCGAAGCUGCGGUGGAAGGCGGUGGCGCAGGAGAUCAUGGCGAGGAGGAGGGGCCUCGGCGGAGGCGCGGCGCGGAGGAGGAAGGCCGGGUUCAGCUACGACUCCAAGAGCUACGCGCUCAACUUCGACCAAGGCGCCGCCGCCGAGUAG